UAGACUUGUGCUGGAGGUUGGCAUGAUCACGAAGCACGGCUUUCUCACUGGUUCACGGUGCUCUUUCAUGCGAAGCAUUUCUGAUGUUUUGACAAAAAUCCUGAGAGGGCUGAUGGGCUAUGGGGUCUGGCCAGUUUCCCAUGUAGGGGAUGGGAGCCCCUGCAAGAGGAGAUCUGCCUGCCAUCUGGGGAGACACUCAGAGGAUCAUUUCCUGCUCUACAAAACGGGGCUAACAACACCCACCUACACAUGGGCGUUGUGAAGAGUAGGUUUUGCUUUCUCUUAGAUGGAAGCCUUGGAGGGCUGGGACUGGACCUUUCACCAUGCAGCCUGGUACAAUAGCAGAGCCUGUACCCAACACUCAG
This is a non-coding RNA of Manis javanica (Malayan pangolin), 365 nucleotides long. Lineage: Eukaryota; Metazoa; Chordata; Mammalia; Pholidota; Manidae. The record is from RefSeq and is a predicted model, not a curated record.